GCCCAAGUGGCGGAAUGGUAGACGCAGGGGAUUCAAAAUCCCCCGCCUUUACGGGCGUGUCGGUUCGAGUCCGACCUUGGGCA
Molecule: transfer RNA, 83 nt
Filed under: Cribrihabitans marinus
Lineage: Bacteria; Pseudomonadati; Pseudomonadota; Alphaproteobacteria; Rhodobacterales; Paracoccaceae
Rfam family: tRNA
About the family: Transfer RNA (tRNA) molecules are approximately 80 nucleotides in length. Their secondary structure includes four short double-helical elements and three loops (D, anti-codon, and T loops). Further hydrogen bonds mediate the characteristic L-shaped molecular structure. tRNAs have two regions of fundamental functional importance: the anti-codon, which is responsible for specific mRNA codon recognition, and the 3' end, to which the tRNAs corresponding amino acid is attached (by aminoacyl-tRNA synthetases). tRNAs cope with the degeneracy of the genetic code in two manners: having more than one tRNA (with a specific anti-codon) for a particular amino acid; and 'wobble' base-pairing, i.e. permitting non-standard base-pairing at the 3rd anti-codon position.
Source: Rfam by way of RNAcentral